RNAcentral lists this long non-coding RNA (1128 nucleotides) under Anser cygnoides (Swan goose). RNAcentral describes it as "lncRNA (ENSACDG00005015171.1)". The record is from RNAcentral. Lineage: Eukaryota; Metazoa; Chordata; Aves; Anseriformes; Anatidae.
AUGCUGGGAGGGGUCCUGGUGAAGCCAGCAGGAUGCCCAGAGAUGCCCACCCGUGCCCACCUCCACACGCUUGUCCAAGGGAUGCUUCUUCAACAUCAGAGCCAGGGCCAUGCCGUGGGGACCUGCUCUGUCUCUGACCCGCAAGAAGGCUCCUGUUGUUUUCAAACACCGCUUUCAGACCGCAUGGCCCAGACACCUGAUACUGCCAGGCAACUACACAAUUCCCCUAAACCCUCCCCAGCCAGCCCUUCAUUGAGGGAUGGAUGCUUUUAUCUCACCAUUGCACUUGUUAAGGGAACAGGCUCAGAAGGAGAGAUUAUGGUGUCCAGUGGGGAAAAGCUCCUUUCCUCCUGCUGGGAGAAAGCCUCUCCUUUUCUCUGGGAUGAUGUCCGUGCAGCAGCCCCAGGAAAGGCCCCACACGGCCACCGAGCCAGUCCCCAGGAGGUGGCAGCAACCAGCAAGGAGGAGCAUCCACAGGCCAGACCUCAUGGGACCAGGGCUUGUCCCUGCUCCCAGAGCCACCCCAAGCGAGCAGANNNNNNNNNNNNNNNNNNNNUGCUGGGAGGGGUCCUGGUGAAGCCAGCAGGAUGCCCAGAGAUGCCCAGCCGUGCCCACCUCCACACACUUGGCCAAGGGAUGCUUCUUCAACAUCAGAGCCAGGGCCAUGCCGUGGGGACCUGCUCUGCCUCUGACCCGCAAGAAGGCUCCUGUUGUUUUCAAACACCGCUUUCAGACCGCAUGGCCCAGACACCUGAUACUGCCAGGCAACUACACAAUUCCCCUAAACCCUCCCCAGCCAGCCCUUCAUUGAGGGAUGGAUGCUUUUAUCUCACCAUUGCACUUGUUAAGGGAGCAGGCUCAGAAGGAGAGAUUAUGGUGUCCAGUGGGGAAAAGCUCCUUUCCUCCUGCUGGGAGAAAGCCUCUCCUUUUCUCUGGGAUGAUGUCCGUGCAGCAGCCCCAGGAAAGGCCCCACGAGGCCACCGAGCCAGUCCCCAGGAGGUGGCAGCAACCAGCAAGGAGGAGCAUCCACAGGCCAGACCUCAUGGGACCAGGGCUUGUCCCUGCCCCCAGAGCCACCCCAAGCGAGCAGAUCAUCCCUACGAGCCAGGAGACCAAGAGCAGGUUUAA